CCCUUAGAUGUUCUGGGCCGCACGCGCGCUACACUGACGGAGUCAACGAGUUGUCCUGCAUCGGAAGGUGUGGGUAAUCUUUUGAAACUUCGUCGUGCUGGGGAUAGCUCUUUGCAAUUUUCGAUCUUGAACGAGGAAUUCCUAGUAAGCGUGAUUCAUCAGAUCGCGUUGAUUACGUCCCUGCCCUUUGUACACACCGCCCGUCGCUACUACCGAUUGAAUGGUUUAGUGAGGCCUCGGGACUGGCGCGCUCGAGUAGCAAUACACCUGCGCGCCGGGAACUUGGUCAAACUUGAUCAUUUAGAGGAAGUAAAAGUCGUAACA
This 324-nucleotide ribosomal RNA is filed under the name uncultured eukaryote. RNAcentral describes it as "partial 18S ribosomal RNA". It matches the Rfam family "Eukaryotic small subunit ribosomal RNA", at positions 1470 to 1796 of the family's 1831-position model. The record is from RNAcentral.